CGGCAACGCAGACAGACAGAACUGCUUAGCAGGCGAGUGAACACACAACCUGGAAAGCUUAUCUACAGAAAAGAAAAACCAAGACCAACGCGUGGAGCGACAAAACGCGGCCCAACUGUGUUCAAAACACGGUGUGAGAGAUCGACCUUGUUUCAACUGGUCUUUGUGUCAGAUUGGACAAUGGACCAACUGUUCUGGAUUUUGAUGGCGAGCUAACCACUUGGAUCUAGAUUGAGAUAACCUGGAUACCUCCUUGCUGCAUUCUCUUGGUGUGGUAGGACAAAAAACAAACAAACUUGGAGCUAAUACCUCACCAUUCAGCAUUACACUGUGCCUUACAUCGACAGGACUUUGACAAACUUUUUAUGGACUUCUUUUGAUUAACAUCCCAGGAACUGUGAACUGAAUAUCUCUUUUUGUUAGGACAAUUUUGACUGAAAAAUUGCACAUGUGUAUUUUUGCAUAAGGAUUGGAAACAAUCCCAUGGUAAACAGAAAAGGGUAUUAGAAGUUUGAUUGUGCCACUAUUUUUGGUGCAAUAGAUCGAAAAUCAGAAAUUCCAGUUAGAGUAAAAGGUAAUUCCUAAACAUUCUAACUUGGAAGGGUGCACCCAAACCAACUCAAAAAAUCAAAAAUAUUGAAUUGAUUAUUGGCCUAAUAUAAGUGUGUGUGUUAAAUGUUUUUUGUAUAUGUAUAAAGUUUUUUUUUUUUUGUUCUCUAAAGCUGGCAAUAUAAAACUCUUGUGGUCUGUGUCAACUUAUGCACUCCACUAAGCUCGAGUAGACGAACUUAGUUGUCCACAAUUAUUUUAUAAUUUGGUAAAAAAAACAAAAAAACAACAAAAGCCUGUGUUACAGGGGACUACCUGUAUAUAUUCCCUACACAAUGUUUACAUUAAGUGUAGAGGUGAAACAAGUACUCGAGCUACUCGAGUAACUCGAGUUUAAAAACUGAUCCGAGUAAUUUUAUUCACCUCGAGUAAUCGUUUAUUUUGACAGCUCUAAGCAUCACGUUUUGCUCGGACUACUUUUAAUGCGGGACAACGCGCUGUCACGUGCGGAGAGGAAGAAGGGAAAAAAAAAACUUACUGCAGCCGACAGCCGCCACAAACGACGCCGACGUUGCUAAAUACUAGCCCGCACGAUGCUACGUUGGUAAAGGUAGCGUCUGAUGCGUCUCAUAGAGAUCACAUGUAUGUUAAACUAGAUGCACAAUGACAGACUCGGCCGCAUCUGGGCAGCGUUAGUAAACAGCCGCCAUUUUAGACCAGUAGAGCGCUAAGCGCUAGUAAAGAGCGCUAAGCGCUAAUAAAUAAGAUUAACGUUACUGUCGCUACUAGCUCACGUAACGUUAGCCCUGCGGAGGGCUAGGUUUCAAUUAAUUAUGACCACUGUCGAUGCGUGGCUAACGUGUCUUACAUACAGGCUUUAACAUAACAGCAUUGUGGAGUGAUGAUGGUGUAAAAUAAAAACUUAAUCAUGCUAAGUAUCAAUUUUAGCUCAGUAGUCAUUGCGGGAUAAAACACCCAAGUAGCACUGGUCCCUAAUGUGCUCCAAUACAGCCUGUAUCAUACAUUUAUUUUGAACACUGCAAAAACUCAAAAUCCUAUCAGAACCUACAGUUUAGACUAACUUAAAACUUAACUAGAACUUAAAAAUGGCUUGACACAAAGAGAAAUUCAAUUGAAACACGUGGGAAAACUUUUAAGUGAUGUGUGUUAUCAAGCGUAACGGCAUUUUUAGGUAAGAUAUAUAUAUAUUUUUUAAUCUAAAAGUUUUUUGAGUGAAAGCAGUGAAUUAGUCUUUUUUUAAUUUUUUUUUUUUUUUUUUAAUUCUAGUUACAUCUGAGAUGCAAUUGUUGGCUGUGUUCAAAAAUAUACAUCGAAAAUAAAGACAUUGAUUGACUGAAAAUGGUUCAAGAUUAGAUGAAAUGUCUUGUUUUCUCAUGUAUAUUUAUAAUUGCUCUUCACCUAAAAAUAUAUUUGUUUUAUCCGAUUACUCGAUUAAUCACUAGACAUUUCAGUCGAUUACUCGAUUACUAAAAUAUUCGAUAGCUGCAGCCCUAAUUAAGUAUUCACUUAACUCAUUGGCUGUCGUUCAUUUUUACCGCUACCAUCCUCUCCAAUCUCCAAUGAAUAGGACGUCCAUUACCGUCAAUGGCACUGAAACGAGAUCCUUCACUGCCAGCGCUAGCAUUUCAAACAAAGUAAGAAUUGUCUGAAUUGUUCAAAAGGCGCGCUAUUGAAAGCUUUUUGUUGAAAAUAGCAAGAUUGCCAUGACAUUCAAACAAAGUAUCACCGCCGGCUCGGUUUUCACUUGUCUGGGAGGAAGAAAGGUCCAAUUAGAGAUGAUUUGCCAGAGAAGCUUUGGAUUGCUUUAGCCGCCGUACGAUUUGCUCUUUUGUCGACCUGGGCUGAGUGCGCUUGCCGCUUUCAUCUGGCAUUUGGAGGGCGAGCACUUUAAUCAACUUAAUGCUAGCGAUAGCGCCUCUUGGCCCAACUCAAAGAGGAGCGCAGAUGGACUCCGCCGAGGCUUUUUUUUCCCCGUCGGGCAAAAAGAUACGGGUCACGGCACCGGCCGACGACACCGGGACGAGUCUGCGCUUCUGGUCUCCGCGCCGUUUUUCUCAGGGCCGUCAGAUAUGAAGUGUAGGUGAGGGACCUUUGUUUAUUUCAAAGCUGCUUUUUUUCCCUUUGUGGACUCUGGGGCCUUGAAAUAUGUAUAAGUGUCCUUUUGCAGACAUCUGAGAGGGAAAUCAAAGGCGGAAGCACAGCAGCGGCAGACGCGGCGGCGGCGUUUCUUAAGCCGCUACCUGCACACAACACACCUGACCCCAAAUACAUCCAACCUUUAACACUGACUUUUGUGAGCUGGAAAUACAUCAAUACUGUGCUUCAGAUGGAUUCAGUGCAGUCAGUCCCACUGCUAUUAGUCUUGUGUUGAAGUAUCAUUGUCCAUGGACAAAACUGUUACGUUUUGCUGCUUAUCUGCGUAAAUAUGUCGGUUGAGGAAUUCUAUUUUAGUCGUUAUUCGAUAAAUGGAACAGUUUAAGGUAGAGAUGCCGAUCGAUCGGGUCCGAUCACGUCAUUUUCAAAGUAUCGGAAUCGACAAAAAAAUAUCGGACAUGCCUUUUUUUAAUAUGUAUAUAUAUAUUUUUUGAUUAAAUCGUUUUCUAAUUGUAUUUAACUUUACCGACAUAAUGUGUUACACUCUUCCAGAGUCUUUAGUUUAAUCCAAAUGUCUGCUAGCAUGCUAUCCACAGGGUCUUUAUUCUCUUGUUAUCAUUGUCUCACGAGUCGAGUCGAGUCUCGAGUUAUUGCCUCACAAGUCAAGUCGAGAUUCGAACCCUCUCAGUCUGCGUUUUUUUUUCUUCAAUUCCGAGUCGAGUUGCGAGUCAUCAAAUUUGCAACUCCAAUAGACUCGAGUUUGAGGCCCUGUGACUUAAGUCCAAUUGUCUGCUAAUUAGUCUUUAAUCCCGCCCACUAACAAAUCUAUAAGAAGAUGAUGUCACAUCCAGAAUGCCCGCUAGCAUGCUAUCUAUAGGGUCUCUAUUCUCUUGUUGUCAUUGUCUCACAAGUCAAGUCGAGUCUCGGACCCUCUCAGUCUGCAUUUUUCUUUUUUCCUUCUAGUCCGAGUUGAGUUGCGAGUCAUCAAAUUUGCGACUCCAAUAGACUUGAGUUUGAGUCCUUGUGACUUGAGUCCAAUUGUCUGCUAAUUAGUUUUUAGUCCUGCCCACUGACAAAUCUAAAAGAAUAUGAUGUCACAUCCAGAAUGCCUGCUAGCAUGCUAUCCAUAGGGUCUUUAUUCUCUUGUUGUCAUUGUCUCAUGAGUCAACUCGAGUCGAGUCUCGAGUUAUUGCCUCACAAGUCAAGUCGAGUUUCGGACCCUCUCAGUCUGCGUUUUUUUUUUCAAGUCCGAGUCGAGUUGCGAGUCAUCAAAUUUACGUCUCCAGUAGACUGGAGUCUGAGUCCCUGUGACUUGAGUCCAAUUGUCUACUAAUUAGUAUUUAAUCACGCCUAAUAAAAAAUCUAAAAGAAGAUAAUGUCACAUCCAGAAUGUCUGCUAGCUUGCUAUCUAUAGGGUCUCUAUUCUCUUGUUGUCAUUGUCUCACGAGUCGAGUCGAGUCUCGAGUUAUUGUCUCACAAGUCAAGUCGGGUCUCGGACCCUCUCACUCUGCGUUUAUUUUUUUCUUUAAGUCCGAGUCGAGUUGUGAGUCAUCAAAUUUUCGACUCCAAUAGACUCGAGUUUGAGUCCCUGUGACUUGAGUCCAAUUGUCUGCUAAUUAGUCUUUAAUCCCGCCCACUGACAAAUCUAUAAGAAGUAGGGCUGUCAAACGAUUAAAAUUUUUAAUCGAGUUAAUUACAGCUUAAAAAUUAAUUAAUCGUAAUUAAUCGCAAUUCAAACCGUCUAUAAAAUAUGCCAUAUUUUUCUGUAAAUUAUACAUAUAUUCUGUAAAAUAAAUUGUUGGAAUGGAAAGAUAAGACACAAGAUGGAUAUGUACAUUCAACAUACGGUACAUAAGGACUGUAGUGGGCAUUUCACUCUACUGUCAUUUAAAUCUGUCUAUGCUGUCCUCACUCCGAAGCGUCUACUUUUUCCAAAGCUAGACAGCUAGUGAACGACGCCUUAAUAAUUAGACUUCUUCCUUUUUCAUCUGAUUUAUUAAUAAAAUGGCCUCAAACCAUCGUCCUCUUUAGACCGUCGUAAAACUACAAAAUAAAAGUACACAAGCAUUGCAUUAGCAACAACGUUAGCUUAGCACGCUAUACAGGUUCACUAAACAUAAACAAAAAGCGUCUCAUACAAAAAAUAUAACAUUUCGCUUGCUAACAUAAUAUGUACUUUCUUUGCAACAACCAUACUUACGGACAAAUCUUGUCCAAGGAUCAUAUAAGCACAAUAUUAUCAGCCCGAGACGUCGUGCAGCCAUAAUGAACUGGUAAGAAAACAAUAAACCAUGUCGCAAAGCAACCACAAGAGUUCGCUGUUGGACAGCAUAAAAAGCCUUGCUGUAAAACUUACCAAAAGGCAGAAUACUUUCUGAGCGGGACAUGUGUGUUAAUUGCGUCAAAUAUUUUAACGUGAUUAAUUUAAAAAAUUAAUUACCGUGCGUUAACGCGAUAAUUUUGACAGCCCUAAUAAGAAGAUGAUGUCACAUCCAGAAUGCCUGCUAGCAUGCUAUCCAUAGGGUCUCUAUUCUCUUGUUGCCAUUGUCUCACGAGUCGAGUCGAGUCUCGAGUUAUUGCCUCACAUGUCAAGUCGAGUUUCGGACCCUCUCAGUUUGUGUUUUUUUUCGUCAAGUCCGAGUCAAGUUGCGAGUCAUCAAGUUGACGUCUCCAGUAGACUCGAGUCUGAGAUCCCUGUGCCUUGAGUCCAAUUGUCUACUAAUUAGUCUUUAAUCCCGCUCACUGACAAAUCUAUAAGAAGAUGGUGUCACAUCCAGAAUGUCUGCUAGCAUGCUAUCUAUAGGGUCGCUAUUCUCUUGUCGUCAUUGUCUCACGAGUCAAGUUGAGUCAAGUCUCGAGUUAUUGUCUCACAAGUCAAGUCGAGUCUCGGACCCUCUCAGUCUGCGUUUUUUUCUUCAAGUCCGAGUCGAGUUGCGAGUCAUUAAAUUUACGUCUCCAGUAGACUUGAGUCUGAGUCCCUGUGACUUGAGUCCAAUUGUCUGCUAACUAGUUUUUAAUCCUGCCCACUAACAAUUCUAUAAGAAGAUGAUGUCACAUCCAGAAUGCCUGCUAGCAUGCUAUCCAUAGGGUCUUUAUUCUCUUGUUGUCAUUGUCUCCCGAGUCGAGUCGAGUCUCGAGUUAUUGUCUCACAAGUCAAGUCGUGUUUCAGACCCUCUCAGUCUGCGUUUUUUUUCUUCAAGUCCGAGUCGAGUUGCGAGUCAUCAAAUUUUCGACUCCAAUAGACUCGAAUUUGAGUCCCUGUGACUUGAGUCCAAUUGUCUGCUAAUUAGUUUUUAUUCCUGCCCACUAACAAAUCUAAAAGAAGAUGAUGUCACAUCCAGAAUGUCUGCUGGCAUGCUAUCUAUAGGGUUUCUAUUCUCUUGUUGUCGUUGUCUCACGAGUCGAGUCUUGAGUUAUUGUCUCACAAGUCAAGUCUCCGACCCUCUCAGUCUGCGUUUUUUUUUCUUCAAGUCCGAGUCGGGUUGCGCGUCAUCAAAUUUGCGACUCCAGUAGACUUGAGUCUGAGUCCCUGCGACUUGAGUCCAACUGUCUGCUAAUUAGUCUUCAAUACCGCCCGGUAACAAGUCUUAAAUAAGAUGAUGUCACAUCCAGAAUGUCUGCUAGCAUGCUACCCAUAGGUUUUCUAUUCUCUUGUUGCCACGUGACUGUUGAGUCAUUCUGUCAACAGGUACUAGCUAGCGCAGCACUAUAAAGCUAAAACUGAUCAGCAGUGGGCGUUCCCUAAUGCAUUCUGGGUAAAAACUAACUAUAACAAGGUAAAAUUAAAUUAGUGCAAUCAGUUUUUUCAUGUUCUUUUUUUUUUUUUUUUUGAUGUGGUUACCAUUUCAUAGCACCUCUAACUCAUUGGCUGUCAAUAAUGGUUAUAGAUGAACCAGAGCUUAACCUCUGUGAAUUUAAAUAACUUUGCCACUGGGGGACGUCCAAUCAAUUGGUUCGAAGUCUAUUGUUAUUACCGGCACUGAAACAUGAUCAUUCAACAACAACAUAUUCCAAGUUCUAAACUGGAAUCAAUUGUGUUAAAUAAAGCUGACAGUAGCGCCGCUACCUUUUGCUAAGGAAGCGCUGCAGAGGGCUCGGAGAAGGACACGGAGACGCGAAGGCCUCGCAGGCAUGACAUUGUUUUUGACUCGGCAAAGUGCUGAGCUCAACAGCGCAGCCGGCGAGCGAGAGGGCGCUAACAACGGAGGCGGGCGGACGGGCGGGCGAGCGGCAGGCCCUGAAGGGAGGAUCAGCCAGGCGGCGGGACUCGUCUUGAAAGCCAAUGUGACUUGGACACAGAGGUCCGCCAGACGCUUUUCAUCCUUGGCAUCAACAUUCCUCACUAGUAUCAAUAAUUUACUUAGGAAAAAAAAGACAGCCUGUGUUCAGGAUCACUCCUCAUCCAAUGUACUCUAUAGUGUAGUCACUUCAACAUUUUGUACAAAGUAUACAGUAGAAUAGCUCAUGUACUAUAUCUAUCUAUACAAAUAUAAACACAGGGUGUAAAACCAAAAUAUAUAGGCCUAUAUAGAUAUCUUAGAGCUGAAACAAUUACUCGAAUAAUUUCAAGUAACUAAAUUUUAAAAUUUAUUGCUUUAUCAGUGGUUUAGGCACCUUCAUUUGUGUUGCAUUGAAUUAGGUGUGUCCAAACUUUUGGCCUGUACUGUAUGUUAGAGCAGGGCGGUAAACCGAAAAUUUACCGCCACCGAAAUUCUUCACGAUGACCGACGUAAAUUUGACCAUGUCGGUAAAUUCGGUAAUUUAAUAAAACAAGAAAAUAUAGUCUUUUUAUCCCGCUUUGACGCUGUGUUGUUCGGCUACGUUCAUUCCCCUUUAAGAAAGCAGACAGUGUGCUUACGUAUGGAGUCACGUGGUUUUCAGGAGGCCAAUCAAACAGAAGCCCGGUAGGCUAACGCUACCAGCUAACGCUACAAGUAAACGGAAUGGAGUCGGGCUUAAGUUAGCUUCGCCAGACUUUCACCCGACAUAAAGUAAACUCUUGGCGGGUCCCAGACGGGCUUUCACCCGCUGUCCUCCCUGGUUCUCACAAUAUCAGGAGAGGAUGCUUUCUUCUGGUAGCCAAGCCACAGGCUAACGCUAGCGGCUAACAAUGGCUACAAAUGAAUGUGAAAGAGUCGGACAGCGGCUCUAAUCUUGUCGAAACGGCUGAAAUUAAUGAGUGGACAGGGCACAGCUAUUUUUCUGUAUGUGUUUGCUUUAUUCUGCUAUCAUAAAACCUUAAAUGUUUCAUUGGCAUCAGAGCAAUACAUCUUUAAUCUGGUUGUGUCUGUGCGGGGGUGCAUGUAUUAAAAAAUGUUUCGGAGAAAAAAAAAUAAUAAUAAACUGAAACCUUGACAUAAACACUUGUGUUGAAUAAUUAUGUCACAGCAGCCAUUACCAAUAAGUUGUCUGAAGUGUACUGUUAAAGCUGCAAGUCAUUUGUGUUAGAAUGACAUGUUUGCGCAGUCGUCAUAUUGAUUUUUAUAAUGUUGUACAUUUUUCAAGUCAUACAAGCUGUUAUAAAUGUUCACACCAGAAUUCUUAUUGUUUACAAGAUUUUUUUUAAUACUUAAUGUUUAGACUGCAUGUGCAAUUGUUAAAUUG
Molecule: long non-coding RNA, 8268 nt
Organism: Corythoichthys intestinalis (scribbled pipefish)
Lineage: Eukaryota; Metazoa; Chordata; Actinopteri; Syngnathiformes; Syngnathidae
Exons: 3
Source: RefSeq, a predicted model, not a curated record